CAGCCGCCGCGGUAAUACGUAGGGUGCAAGCGUUAAUCGGAAUUACUGGGCGUAAAGCGUGCGCAGGCGGUUAUGCAAGACAGAUGUGAAAUCCCCGGGCUCAACCUGGGAACUGCAUUUGUGACUGCAUGACUAGAGUACGGCAGAGGGGGAUGGAAUUCCGCGUGUAGCAGUGAAAUGCGUAGAUAUGCGGAGGAACACCGAUGGCGAAGGCAAUCCCCUGGGCCUGUACUGACGCUCAUGCACGAAAGCGUGGGGAGCAAACAGGAUUAGAUACCCCAGUAGUCCCUGUCUCUUAUAC
Molecule: ribosomal RNA, 301 nt
Filed under: uncultured bacterium
Lineage: Bacteria
Description: partial 16S ribosomal RNA
Rfam family: Bacterial small subunit ribosomal RNA
Source: RNAcentral